AUUGAACGCUGGCGGCAUGCCUUACACAUGCAAGUCGAACGGCAGCACGGGAGCAAUCCUGGUGGCGAGUGGCGAACGGGUGAGUAAAGUAUCGGAACGUACCUUUCAGUGGGGGAUAACGUAGCGAAAGUUACGCUAAUACCGCAUAUUCUGUGAGCAGGAAAGCAGGGGAGUCGCAAGACCUUGCGCUGAUGGAGCGGCCGAUAUCAGAUUAGCUAGUUGGUGAGGUAAAGGCUCACCAAGGCGACGAUCUGUAGCGGGUCUGAGAGGAUGAUCCGCCACACUGGAACUGAGACACGGUCCAGACUCCUACGGGAGGCAGCAGUGGGGAAUAUUGGACAAUGGGGGCAACCCUGAUCCAGCCAUGCCGCGUGAGUGAAGAAGGCCUU
This 389-nucleotide ribosomal RNA is filed under the name uncultured bacterium. RNAcentral's name for it is "bacterial SSU rRNA". It matches the Rfam family "Bacterial small subunit ribosomal RNA", at positions 30 to 418 of the family's 1533-position model. The record is from RNAcentral.